CACCCAACGUGGCAUUGCGUCAGGGGCGUACGACUGGAAUUGGAACAGGGGCCAGUCACGCGCACGUUGGGGGAGCUGGGGGCCGGUAGUCGGGGGACUGCCGGCCCUUUUUUA
Xanthomonas translucens pv. undulosa is the source of this 114-nucleotide non-coding RNA. NCBI's taxonomy places the organism in Bacteria, Pseudomonadati, Pseudomonadota, Gammaproteobacteria, Lysobacterales, Lysobacteraceae. The record is from Rfam.